UACGUAGGUGGCGAGCGUUGUCCGGAUUUACUGGGCGUAAAGAGCGCGCAGGCGGUCGUGCAAGUCGCGUGUGAAAGCCCCCGGCUCAACUGGGGAGGGUCACGCGAUACUGCUCGACUUGAAGGCAGGAGAGGGAAGUGGAAUUCCCGGUGUAGUGGUGAAAUGCGUAGAUAUCGGGAGGAACACAGUGGCGAAGGCGACUUCCUGGCCUGUUCUUGACGCUGAGGCGCGAAAGCUAGGGUAGCAAACGGG
RNAcentral lists this ribosomal RNA (252 nucleotides) under uncultured Chloroflexota bacterium. Its description in RNAcentral is "uncultured Chloroflexi bacterium partial 16S ribosomal RNA". It matches the Rfam family "Bacterial small subunit ribosomal RNA", at positions 524 to 776 of the family's 1533-position model. Lineage: Bacteria; Bacillati; Chloroflexota. The record is from RNAcentral.